This 292-nucleotide ribosomal RNA is filed under the name uncultured bacterium. Its description in RNAcentral is "partial 16S ribosomal RNA". It matches the Rfam family "Bacterial small subunit ribosomal RNA", at positions 505 to 796 of the family's 1533-position model. The record is from RNAcentral.
GUGCCAGCAGCCGCGGUAAGACGUAGGGGGCGAGCGUUGUCCGGAUUCACUGGGCGUAAAGCGCGCGUAGGCGGCUCGUUAAGUCGGAUGUGAAAACCCGGGGCUCAACCCCGGGCCUGCACCCGAUACUGGCGGGCUGGAGGCAGGUAGGGGAGAUCGGAAUUCCCGGUGUAGCGGUGAAAUGCGCAGAUAUCGGGAGGAACACCGGUGGCGAAGGCGGAUCUCUGGGCCUGUCCUGACGCUCAGGCGCGAAAGCUAGGGGAGCAAACAGGAUUAGAAACCCCCGUAGUCC